GGCAGGGUAGCUCAGUUGGUUAGAGCGCGGGACUCAUAAGCCCGAGGUCGUGAGUUCAAUUCUCACUCCUGCUACCA
Molecule: transfer RNA, 77 nt
Filed under: Candidatus Peregrinibacteria bacterium RIFOXYA2_FULL_33_7
Lineage: Bacteria; Candidatus Peregrinibacteriota
Also listed under: 1 other name
Description: tRNA-Met
Rfam family: tRNA
About the family: Transfer RNA (tRNA) molecules are approximately 80 nucleotides in length. Their secondary structure includes four short double-helical elements and three loops (D, anti-codon, and T loops).
Source: RNAcentral